UUCUAAACUCACAUCCCUCAAGUAUUUGCUUCUUUCUGGUAAUGAGUUUGAAGGCUUAUUCUCAUUUAGCGCUUUGGCUAACCACUCUAAGCUUGAAGUAUUUCUACUCUCUUCGGGAAGUAGGAGGUUAGAAUUGGAAACAGAAAAUCCUACAUGGUUUCCUACAUUUCAACUCAAGUACGUUGACUUGUCCAAGUGCAACUUAAAUGUGAGAACUAGAGCAAUUCCUAGCUUUCUUCUCUACCAAUAUGACAUACGCUUCGUUGAUCUCUCUCACAAUAUGCUGU
RNAcentral lists this unclassified non-coding RNA (287 nucleotides) under Hevea brasiliensis (rubber tree). The record is from RNAcentral. Lineage: Eukaryota; Viridiplantae; Streptophyta; Magnoliopsida; Malpighiales; Euphorbiaceae.